GACGAACCGUGCGAACGUUAUUCGGAAUCACUGGGCUUAAAGGGCGCGUAGGCGGGUCAUCAAGUCCGGGGUGAAAUCUUUCGGCUUAACCGGAAAAUUGCCUUGGAAACUGGUGGUCUUGAGGGAAGUAGGGGUCUGCGGAACUUCCGGUGGAGCGGUGAAAUGUGUUGAUAUCGGAAGGAACGCCGGUGGCGAAAGCGGCGGACUGGGCUUCUUCUGACGCUGAGGCACGAAAGCUAGGGGAGCAAACGGG
RNAcentral lists this ribosomal RNA (253 nucleotides) under uncultured bacterium. RNAcentral describes it as "partial 16S ribosomal RNA". It matches the Rfam family "Bacterial small subunit ribosomal RNA", at positions 524 to 776 of the family's 1533-position model. The record is from RNAcentral.